RNAcentral lists this ribosomal RNA (1039 nucleotides) under uncultured bacterium. RNAcentral's name for it is "bacterial SSU rRNA". It matches the Rfam family "Bacterial small subunit ribosomal RNA", at positions 8 to 1040 of the family's 1533-position model. The record is from RNAcentral.
AGAGUUUGAUCCUGGCUCAGAUUGAACGCUGGCGGCACGCUUUACACAUGCAAGUCGAGCGGCAGCGCGGGGGUGCUUGCACCCCUGGCGGCGAGCGGCGGACGGGUGAGUAAUGCAUGGGAAUAUGCCCGACAGAGGGGGAUAACUUUGGGAAACCAAAGCUAAUACCGCAUACGCUCUGCGGAGGAAAGCGGGGGAUCUUCGGACCUCGCACUGACGGAGUAGCCCAUGUCCGAUUAGUUUGUUGGUGCGGUAACGGCGCACCAAGGCGAUGAUCGGUAGCUGGUCUGAGAGGAUGAUCAGCCACACCGGGACUGAGACACGGCCCGGACUCCUACGGGAGGCAGCAGUGGGGAAUAUUGGACAAUGGGGGAAACCCUGAUCCAGCGAUGCCGCGUGAGUGAAGAAGGCCUUCGGGUUGUAAAGCUCUUUCGCGAGGGAAGAAAAGGCAACGGUAAAUAAUUGUUGCCACUGACGGUACCUCGAUAAGAAGCACCGGCUAACUACGUGCCAGCAGCCGCGGUAAUACGUAGGGUGCGAGCGUUAAUCGGAAUUACUGGGCGUAAAGCGUGCGUAGGCGGCCAUGCAAGUCAGAUGUGAAAGCCCCGGGCUUAACCUGGGAACUGCGUUUGAAACUGCAAGGCUAGAGUUCGGCAGGGGAAGAUGGAAUUCCAUGUGUAGCGGUGAAAUGCGUAGAUAUAUGGAAGAACACUAAUGGCGAAGGCAUUCUUCUGGGCCGAUACUGACGCUGAGUCACUAAAGCGUGGGGAGCAAACAGGAUUAGAUACCCUGGUAGUCCACGCCCUAAACGAUGUCCGCUAGCUAUUGGAUUUUGGAUUCAGUGGCGAAGCUAACGCGUUAAGCGGACCGCCUGGGGAGUACGGUCGCAAGAUUAAAACUCAAAGGAAUUGACGGGGACCCGCACAAGCGGUGGAUGAUGUGGUUUAAUUCGAUGCAACGCGAAAAACCUUACCUGCUCUUGACAUGUCUGGAACUCUGCAGAGAUGCAGAGGUGCCUUCGGGAACCAGAACACAGGUG